AUUUAUUACUGGCACGGAUGAACACGGGGAGAAAAUUGCAACUGCUGCCAUGGCUCAGGGUUCCACCCCUCCUGACCAUUGCAAUCUCAUAUCUUAGUUUUGGGUUCAUGGAUUGCUUUUCUCUUCUACACAAUUCCAAGCAUCUAUUCUUGGUUUGAACAAGUUUUGGGCUUUUGGUGGUAAUGUGGUGGCUAUGGAUAAGGACUCGUGUGGAGUGGGGUUCAUGGCGGAACUGUCCGGCAUGGAGUAAGACAAAACAAAAAGAACAAGAUGCACGGUAUCACGCACAUGGAUGCUGCCCUGGACGCAAUGCGUCCACUUGGAUUUAGGACACAACUGAUUCUACGAACGGUUAAUGAGCUUCUCGAUGGGCUUCUUCAGGUGUAUGGUGGAAAUCAAGGAUGGUGCUUUAUUGAAGAGGCCUAUUACAAGCUCCUAAUGGAGGCCCUACUUAGCAAACAACAAGGUUCUGCAGAAUAUAAGGUGGGAAUGGAACUUACCAAAUAGUUUGGUAAUCUUGGAACUGGGCGUGGCACAUCCGUGCUUGAAAUGGUUGCUGCCUUUGAAAAAGCUUCCGGCAAGAAAAUUCCAUUAAAAAUGUGUCCCAGAAGACCCGGGGAUGCUACUGCUGUAUAUGCAUCUACGGACAAGGCUGAGAAAGAACUUGGUUGGAAGGCAAAAUACGGUAUAGAGGAAAUGUGCAGGGAUUUGUGGAAUUGGACAAGCAAAAAUCCAUGGGGAUACCAAGGGAAGCAUUAAAUUAAAUUUGGUGCUCGAUCGGUUGUACUUGGAGGAGGUCUUCCUCCACCAUAUCAUAUCAUCUCCACUCCAGAUAUAAUAUGUUGAUGUUUCUUUUGUUGAUACAA
Molecule: long non-coding RNA, 866 nt
Organism: Glycine soja
Lineage: Eukaryota; Viridiplantae; Streptophyta; Magnoliopsida; Fabales; Fabaceae
Exons: 7
Source: RefSeq, a predicted model, not a curated record